CCUACGGGGGGCAGCAGUGAGGAAUAUUGGUCAAUGGGCGCAAGCCUGAACCAGCCAAGUCGCGUGAAGGAUUAAUGUUCUACGGGUUGUACACCUCUUAUAUAAAGGAAUAAAGUGUGGCACGUGUGCCUUUUUGUAUGUACUUUAUGAAUAAGGAUCGGCUAACUCCGUGCCAGCAGCCGCGGUAAUACGGAGGAUCCGAGCGUUAUCCGGAUUUAUGGGGUUUAAAGGGAGCGUAGGUGGGCUGUUAAGUCAGUUGUGAAAGUCUGCGGGUCAACCGUCAAAUUGCAGUUGAACCUGGCAGCCUUGAGUACAGUUGAGGUAGGCGGAAUGCGUGGUGUAGCGGUGAAAUGCUUAGAUA
Molecule: ribosomal RNA, 361 nt
Filed under: uncultured bacterium
Lineage: Bacteria
Description: partial 16S ribosomal RNA
Rfam family: Bacterial small subunit ribosomal RNA
Source: RNAcentral